Long non-coding RNA from Dioscorea cayenensis subsp. rotundata (Guinea yam), 208 nucleotides. RefSeq lists it as uncharacterized. NCBI's taxonomy places the organism in Eukaryota, Viridiplantae, Streptophyta, Magnoliopsida, Dioscoreales, Dioscoreaceae. The transcript has 3 exons. The record is from RefSeq and is a predicted model, not a curated record.
AGCUGUUGCAAUUUUCACCUGCUACAAUUGGUAACACACUAUUUACAUGUGAUGCUUGGGUAGAGCAAAUCGAUACUUCAAAUGGUUGGUUUUUUUAUUCUUGCAAUAUAUGCAAAAAAGUCAUGAUUGAAACAGAAAAUGGUGAGCUUGCUUGCUAUGACCAUGGCCAAGGAAUUCCAAAGUUGACGUUAAGACUGCGGAUGAUAAU